Molecule: long non-coding RNA, 755 nt
Organism: Armigeres subalbatus
Lineage: Eukaryota; Metazoa; Arthropoda; Insecta; Diptera; Culicidae
Exons: 4
Source: RefSeq, a predicted model, not a curated record
AACUGCUGAAAAAUUUAAAAACAGCUCGUAAGUUGGCCCUUAUUAGUGAUAAUUGUCUAAACAAGUUGAAACUAUCGACAAUUAGUAAGGACGGUUACAUCGAUGUGACUGCACUCAAACAAAGCAUCUCAGUGAUAAUAGACAUAGGCAUAUUUUACGCCACCAUGAAAUUAGUUCAUUUGCUCAGAAUCGUUGCAGUCGUAGUUUGCAUUUUCCUUCAGUUAGCAAAAGCCGUACCUUUACCGGAUCCUCAGUUCUUGGAGGAAGAAAUCUGCGGUUCACCGGACGAGCCGCUGCGUUGCUUGUGUACAAUGCAAGACGAUGAAUUGGAUUGUGAAUAUUUCGUAUGAAAUGAAAGCCUUCAACCCAGUGAAGGUCUUCAGUUUUGAAUCGUUAUUUUUCGACGAAUUCCAAUGAGGAGAUAUCAUAUUUACGUUUGUCUAAUGCUACUGUGCAGUUACUUUGGAUUAACUUGUUCAUAUGUACGAUCAAAUCUACACCCGGAGAUGAAAUGCAAUCCAAAAGUUGUAUUCAAAGAUGAAUGUGACAAUAUUUGUGUUUGUAACCCAUGGGGUAUCGCUCUAUGUGAUGACAAAAUUAUGAAAGCAUGUGGCAAAUAAAUCAAUACAAUUUUUACGUUAUUUUUUAACAUAAUUAUUAUUUUGUUUACUAAAGACAACUUCAUGUAACAAGAAUCCGGAGUACAUGUUGCACUAUUCACUAUAAACGAUUUUAAAACACGCUUUUAUCAAAUU